GUCAAAUAUGGACUACUGUCUACCUGAUCUAACAUCAGAUGGAGUCAAUGAGUAUGUAGAGAAUGUUCAUGAUUGAGCAUUAAUUUGCCAGAAAUUUGCUCAGAAGGUCAAACAUGGGCUCAUGUAUGGCUGAAGUAACAUCAGAGGGAGGCAAUGAUUAUGUAUGGAAAGAUCAUGUUCAAGGACGCUUUGGACCGAAAAAAAAAAAAGUAAA
Long non-coding RNA from Ctenopharyngodon idella (grass carp), 214 nucleotides. RefSeq lists it as uncharacterized. The record is from RefSeq and is a predicted model, not a curated record. NCBI's taxonomy places the organism in Eukaryota, Metazoa, Chordata, Actinopteri, Cypriniformes, Xenocyprididae. The transcript has 2 exons.